UACGUAGGUGGCAAGCGUUGUCCGGAUUUACUGGGCGUAAAGAGCGCGCAGGCGGCCGAGUAAGUCGAAUGUGAAAGCCCCCGGCUCAACUGGGGAAGGUCAUUCGAUACUGUUCGGCUUGAAGAUAGGAGAGGGAAGCGGAAUUUCAGGUGUAGUGGUGAAAUGCGUAGAUAUCUGGAGGAAUACCGGUGGCGAAGGCGGCAUCCUGGACCGAGAUUGACGCUGAUGAGCGAAAGCUAGGGGAGCAAACGGG
RNAcentral lists this ribosomal RNA (253 nucleotides) under uncultured bacterium. RNAcentral describes it as "partial 16S ribosomal RNA". It matches the Rfam family "Bacterial small subunit ribosomal RNA", at positions 524 to 776 of the family's 1533-position model. The record is from RNAcentral.